RNAcentral lists this microRNA precursor (59 nucleotides) under Monodelphis domestica (gray short-tailed opossum). RNAcentral describes it as "microRNA mdo-mir-12297d precursor". The record is from miRBase by way of RNAcentral. Lineage: Eukaryota; Metazoa; Chordata; Mammalia; Didelphimorphia; Didelphidae.
CUUUGUGUGGCGGCUUGUUCUGAGAGUAACUGAAGGAGAACGAGGUGCAGCGCAAAGGA